GGGCAAGUAGCUCAGGGGUGGAGCACCUGCUUUGUAUGCAGGUCCCAGGUUCAAUCCCUGGGAUCUCCA
Molecule: non-coding RNA, 69 nt
Organism: Podarcis lilfordi (Lilford's wall lizard)
Lineage: Eukaryota; Metazoa; Chordata; Lepidosauria; Squamata; Lacertidae
Source: the annotation of a GenBank genome assembly